CUAAGCAUAUCAAUAAGCGGAGGAAAAGAAACCAACAGGGAUUGCCCUAGUAACGGCGAGUGAAGCGGCAACAGCUCAAAUUUGAAAUCUGGCUCUUUCAGAGUCCGAGUUGUAAUUUGCAGAGGGCGCUUUGGCGUUGGCAGCGGUCCAAGUUCUUUGGAACAGGACGUCACAGAGGGUGAGAAUCCCGUACGUGGUCGCUAUCCUUCGCCGUGUAAAGCCCCUUCGACGAGUCGAGUUGUUUGGGAAUGCAGCUCUAAAUGGGAGGUAAAUUUCUUCUAAAGCUAAAUACUGGCCAGAGACCGAUAGCGCACAAGUAGAGUGAUCGAAAGAUGAAAAGCACUUUGGAAAGAGAGUCAAACAGCACGUGAAAUUGUUGAAAGGGAAGCGCUUGCAGCCAGACUUGCCUGUAGUUGCUUAUCCGGACUUUUGUCCGGUGCACUCUUCUAUAGGCAGGCCAGCAUCAGUUUGGGCGGUUAGAUAAAGGUCUCUGUCAUGUACCUCUCUUCGGAGAGGCCUUAUAGGGGAGACGACAUGUAACCAGCCUGGACUGAGGUCCGCGCAUCUGCUAGGAUGCUGGCGUAAUGGCUGUAAGCGGCCCGUCUUGAAACACGGACCAAGGAGUCUAACAUCUAUGCGAGUGUUUGGGUGUCAAGCCCAGACGCGUAAUGAAAGUGAACGGAGGUAAGAACCCUUUGGGUGCAUUAUCGACCGAUCCUGAUGUCUUCGGAAGGAUUUGAGUAAGAGCAUGGCUGUUGGGACCCGAAAGAUGGUGAACUAUGCUUGAAUAGGGUGAAGCCAGAGGAAACUCUGGUGGAGGCUCGCAGCGGUUCUGACGUGCAAAUCGAUCGUCAAAUUUGGGCAUAGGGGCGAAAGACUAAUCGAACUAUCUAGUAGCUGGUUCCCUGCCGAAUUUUUCCCCU
RNAcentral lists this ribosomal RNA (923 nucleotides) under Chaetosphaeronema sp. YW-2017a. RNAcentral describes it as "partial large subunit ribosomal RNA". It matches the Rfam family "Eukaryotic large subunit ribosomal RNA", at positions 34 to 975 of the family's 3401-position model. Lineage: Eukaryota; Fungi; Ascomycota; Dothideomycetes; Pleosporales; Phaeosphaeriaceae. The record is from RNAcentral.